Molecule: ribosomal RNA, 450 nt
Filed under: uncultured bacterium
Lineage: Bacteria
Description: partial 16S ribosomal RNA
Rfam family: Bacterial small subunit ribosomal RNA
Source: RNAcentral
GUGGGGAAUUUUGGACAAUGGGCGCAAGCCUGAUCCAGCAAUGCCGCGUGCAGGAAGAAGGCCUUCGGGUUGUAAACUGCUUUUGUACGGAACGAAAAGGCUCUGGCUAAUACCUGGAGCUCAUGACGGUACCGUAAGAAUAAGCACCGGCUAACUACGUGCCAGCAGCCGCGGUAAUACGUAGGGUGCGAGCGUUAAUCGGAAUUACUGGGCGUAAAGCGUGCGCAGGCGGUGCUGUAAGACAGGCGUGAAAUCCCCGGGCUCAACCUGGGAACUGCAUCUGUGACUGCAUUGCUGGAGUGCGGCAGAGGGGGAUGGAAUUCCGCGUGUAGCAGUGAAAUGCGUAGAUAUGCGGAGGAACACCGAUGGCGAAGGCAAUCCCCUGGGCCUGCACUGACGCUCAUGCACGAAAGCGUGGGGAGCAAACAGGAUUAGAUACCCUUGUAGUCC